RNAcentral lists this ribosomal RNA (497 nucleotides) under uncultured bacterium. RNAcentral's name for it is "partial 16S ribosomal RNA". It matches the Rfam family "Bacterial small subunit ribosomal RNA", at positions 28 to 507 of the family's 1533-position model. The record is from RNAcentral.
GAUGAACGCUGGCGGCGUGCCUAAUACACGCAAGUCGAGCGAACGGACGAGAAGCUUGCUUCUCUGAUGUUAGCGGCGGACGGGUGAGUAACACGUGGAUAACCUACCUAUAAGACUGGGAUAACUUCGGGAAACCGGAGCUAAUACCGGAUAAUAUUUUGAACCGCAUGGUUCAAAAGUGAAAGACGGUCUUGCUGUCACUUAUAGAUGGAUCCGCGCUGCAUUAGCUAGUUGGUAAGGUAACGGCUUACCAAGGCAACGAUGCAUAGCCGACCUGAGAGGGUGAUCGGCCACACUGGAACUGAGACACGGUCCAGACUCCUACGGGAGGCAGCAGUAGGGAAUCUUCCGCAAUGGGCGAAAGCCUGACGGAGCAACGCCGCGUGAGUGAUGAAGGUCUUCGGAUCGUAAAACUCUGUUAUUAGGGAAGAACAUAUGUGUAAGUAACUGUGAACAUCUUGACGGUACCUAAUCAGAAAGCCACGGCUAACUACGUG